UCCGGUACAUUGAAUGCGCAAGAGUAGCAUAACCAUUAGCAUUUUAAUUAAAGGCUGUUAUAAAUGGUUGGAAGAGAAAUAAGCUGUCGUAUUAUUAAAAUUGAGUUUUACUUUAAACUGAAAUGGCCAAAAUGAUAUUUCGUUACGAAAAGGUCCUAUGGUGUUUAAAAGAUUGUAAUAACUAAUGGAAGAUCGGAGUUAGUUGUUUAUAAAAAAUAAAUACUUUUAUUAGUGAAAAAAUGAAUAAAAAUACAAGAAUAUGGGGCGAUAAAUUGUGAACUGGUCACAUAAAAUUAGAGAAAAAAUGUCCUUAGCGAGAAAACACUACUUUAUUCGAGAGUUCAAACCGCGAGUUUGCGACCUCGCUUUUAGAUUGAGAUAAUUCCAAAUAUAAAGUUUAAAAAACCAGUUUGUUCGGUUUUUUAAUCAUACGUGAUCUGAGUUCA
This 446-nucleotide ribosomal RNA is filed under the name Gryllidae sp. BAH_28365_C12. RNAcentral's name for it is "partial 16S ribosomal RNA". The record is from RNAcentral. Lineage: Eukaryota; Metazoa; Arthropoda; Insecta; Orthoptera; Gryllidae.